ACAAGCAUUGCAAAAGGACAAACAGCAGAGACCUGCUGUAGUAAACGGCAAGAAUAUUCAGAAGGGGCAAGGAAAGACAGUUUGUAAAGAAAAAGAGAGGUGACUGCAGGAGAUAUUUUCACAAACAUGGUUGGUCACAGUGAUUACGAGUUCCUUCAGCUCCUAAGGGAACUGUGCAAAGGAAAUUAUGGAGCACAGUGGUGAGUUGACAGGUGACUACCAUGUGCAGCAUCCCAAAGACCUCCCACGACAGCAAGAAAAGCAAAAGGCUUUCCACUGUGCCCUACGGAAAAGGACAAGAAGACAAAACACACGUGCUAUCAGGCCACAGAGGUUUGAGGAGGCCUCCUGGAAUGUGUGACCUUGGACGCGUGCCUGAAGCACCAGACAAGACCCCCAAGCAGGGGAGGAAACCAGAGACCUCCAUGGAACCUGGACCUUGGCCCAGACAAGGGAGCUGUUCCUCCAGCUUCAGCUGACCACACAUCAUGUGCUACAACAACAAAGAGGGGCAUGUAGGGAGCCUCUGAAGAUGGAAAUUGAUCUCAUAUGCAGGGACAAUUGGGAAAAAAGACCAUCUGGGUGAACCAUGUGAAGAAGCUGCUUCAGUCUGGAAAACACCAAGCCCCUUAGCAAUGCAAGCAAUGGCUGGCUAGCCUCUCAUGGUCCUUCACCCCUCAAAACUCAAGAGCUCACAGGUCAUGGUACACAUGUGCGUAUCCACCAUGCAUAUCUGCACAUUGUACACACCAUAGCUGAAGAACAGAGGAGACAGGACGGGCCUGACCUAACAUCUGCUGAACUUGAGCUUCAAUGUUCCUCAGUGAAACUGGACCUGGCAGUUAAGACCCUGGGACAGGAGGUGGAGAUGGAUAAAGAGGCACCCACAAGGACUUGCUGAAGACUCUGGCGGGUGUCACUCUUGAAGACUCCCAGAAUAUUGGAGACUUCAGUAAAGGAAAGUAUAUGCGACCUCUCAGGAAUGAGGCAUCCUGUCACACAGCCUGCAGAUUGGGGCUCUACUAGAGGAGGCAGCCCUAGGCCUAGGUCACCCGUCUCACUUUCUCAUACAGGCCAACAUGUCACCAAACCCUUCCAAGAAAACCAUGGCAUUGCAGAGUAUGCAUUUUUGAGUCUGGAAGCCUCACAGCCAGUUCCUGCCUCCACCCAUCUUGCUCUGUCUGUUCUUAGGGCAGAAAGGAGGGUAAGUGUGUAGCCAGGGGCAGGCAAGGGUGAUGAUGCCAUUGUUCUGGUCUUCUUUUGUUUGGUUUUUUCUUUGUUUUUUUUUUUUCUUUCAGUUCUGGGAAUUGAACACAGGAUCCUAAAGUUGCAGAGCAAGCCCUCACCACUGAAAUAUAUACCAGAGCUCUACUGGCUUUACAGCAUGCCCUCUACUCUUGGCUCCCAUGGAUCUCACCCAAGAAAAGUGUUCUAUCAGACAUGCAGCUACAAUGGUGCCCCUCACACAGGGUUUGGUUCUUGUAGUGGUUGUCAGGCUUCUCUUUACUAUGAUAACACACAUAGAUAGAUAAACCAUCGAUCUACAAACUACUAGGAUUUUUAAGACAUUUAACAAAAGUGCAGUACACAAGAUUCCUAUGUAAAAAUUCAUCAAAGUUACUAUAUGUCAACAAUGGAUUUUUUUAUAAAAACAUAAAUUUUUUAAAAGUCACACAUUUUCAGUAGCCAAAAAGCCAUGUGAGAGACUGGAAUGAACCUAGCAGGAGAUGUAUAAAAUGACCAAAGAGCAUUCACAUCAGUCUACAGGAAUUGCACAGAAAAUGGAAAUAACAUGGCAGGUAAAAAGACUCAGUCUUAAAAAAGAUGUCACUUACCCUCUAUGGAAUGUUCCAGUGCAUUCCUAGUGAGAUUCCCAACAGGGAUUUUCUUAAAUGAGAAGCUAGCAGAUGCUGCAAGACUCCUGAGGACCACAGCCCAGCCAGCACUAGGCCUACCCUGAUGGCACAGCUCUGUGUGAGGGGACAAUGAGGAUGGCCUGAGUCCAUGCAGGGCUGGAAUGGGGACCUGUGGGCAAGCAGUGGGCCCAGAAACACGUGGCUCAGAGGUGAACCCAUGGUUUGCAGCACAUGGCUUCAAAUAGAACCCUAAAUAUGGAUAACUGAUUAUCCAUAUGGAAAACUGCCAGCUCAGGGUGGAACUCUAGCUGUCCCCAGACUCGAAAGGCAGUACACUAAGGUCCACACAGGAGAAACAAGAUUCCAAGAAGAAAAGAGACUAGGGCUUUAAGGCAUCAGACAAUAUUUAUAUAACUCAUAAAAAUCACAGUGCUGUGGAUAAGGUUGAUAAAUACUACUUUAAAAUGAUGUAUCCAUCAAUAGACAUAAAAACUUGAAAUCUUAAGCCAUGAAAUGGGAGAGUCUGUGUUACCUCUACACAAGGCCUGUGUCCAAAACAUGCAGAAGCUGUCUGUACCUCAGUAAAUGUUACAGGGCUUGGGAAGGGCAUCAGAGGUAGAGUGCUUUUCCAGCAUGGGUAGGGCCAUAUAUUCCAUCUCCAGAGCAGCUGCCCCACUAGAGGAGUUCUAUUCUCUUAGGGGUAAGAUCAAAACAAUGCUUUGAGCAUAUUUUUAAGAUUCAUCCUGAUUCUUCGUUUCUUUUUUGUUUUUGUUUUUGUUUUCUUAGACAGGAUCUUCUGUGCAGUUCAGGCUGGUCCUGAAAUCACUAUAUAGCUGAGGCUUCUUCAAAUAGAACCCUAAAUGUGGAUAACUGAUAAUCCAUAAGAAAAACGGCCAGCUCAGAGUGGAGCUCUAUCUGUCCCCAAACAUGAAAUUCAGUACACUAAUGCCCACACAGGAGAACUAAGAAGUAACUCUCAGUGAUCUUUAUGCCUUAGCCUCUCCAGUUCAGGAAUAACAGAUGUGUCUCAGCCCAUCCAGUGGACUAGCAGGGAUUCUUGCAUUUGGGAAUAUUCUAGGAUCCUCUUGUUAUUACAGGGUACCUUGUCCUUCCACAGAGAGUAAGAAAACAUAGGUUGUUGGCAAGCAAGAGUGGGGGAAACACACAUCUUUUCUCUCAGUAGGGAAGCAUCAUGGAUUAAGGCUGUAGACCAUGUCUCUUAUCUCCACAAGGGUCCCUGUCUACUUCAUUAAGAGAACACAUAGGCGGAAGAGUGGAAUAAGUACACAUUAUACUUUUACAGAGUAACAGGUGCAGGACCUAGAGUUCCUCCCUGCUCUGUCUCUCGGUGGGACAUUUUUAGUUGCUUAUCUAGUUUAUUUUGGGAGACACAGGUGUGAUGGCGUCCUGGUUUUUUGCUGUUGUUUGUUUGGUACUAAGGAUCAAACGUGCACAACCUCACCCUUACCAGGCAAUCCCAGCCAGGAAUCCUGGUUUAAUAAGACUUCUGGGUUUUUAGGUGAAUGAGAUGAAAUGGGAAAGUGAGGGGCAGGGAAGAACUCACACCACACUUCCGGUGGGUAACUGGCCCUGAGCUGAGGCCCCAGAGCAGGCACCUGCCCUGUGUUCCUUUGUCCCCAGGGGGGUCCCAGAUUGCCUGAGCACCCCUGAGAGUGAUGAAGGAAGACAUACAGAAGGCACAGCCUGCUCUAGCUGCUCUGAGCCACAGGAAAGGACAGUGGUGCCAUGGAGCCCUGGGUGAUGGCAUGUGGAUAAGAUGUGGGCAAUGGGCACCCAGGGGAGAGCAAAAGAUGUGUGUUACUUACAAAGAUGAGUCCCCAUGAACACCAAGGAUGGGGAGUACUUUUUUUUUUUUUUUGACAGUUUCUGAAAUGAUUUCCUGGGAAAUACAAGGGCCUGUAGUGCUGCUUUUAUGUAAAGAGAAGAGCAUCACUGCAGGUCUUAGAAAAAUAUUCGGUGCUGAGGACCAAACCCCUGCCAGGCAAGUGCUUGCUCUACCAUUGGGGUAAAUUCCCAACUCUCAAAGACUUUUGCUUCUUUGCUUGGGUUUUUCUUUUUUAGGACACUGCCUUUUUAAGGCAGUGUCUCUCUGUGUAUUUUAGGCUGAUCUGGAGCUCACUGUGUAGCCCAGGCUGGCGUGGAACUCUUAGCAAGCCCAUUGCACUUCCUACCACAGACAUGGCCUUGCCCCUGCCACAGGCUUCUGGGACAGGGUCUGGCACCCGGAACCCCACGACCUGGCCCCAAUGCCCCCGACCCCGUGAUCCCAUCCCCAUCCCCUGGAUUCAUGACCCCCAGGCACACUGUCCCCCAAGCCAGGAUGUCCCCGUCACAGGACGCUGGACCCCUGAACACAGCUCUCUGGAUCACAGUACCCCAGGCGCAAACUUGCCUCCCCUAGCCUGGCCCUCUGGACUCUGGCAACGGGGCUCUGGCCCCUAACCACCCCCCAACCCUGGCCAGGAACUGGGCCAAGGCCUCCAGAACCACAGUCCCCUGAGCCUAGCACUGCUGCACUGUCUUCCCACUCUGGGCCCAAGGAAACCAGCUCUGAACUUUGAACUUUGGUACCCAGGCCCAGACACCAUUCUCCCCAUCCCCCCUGGGUCCCUGGCCCCAAACCUUGAAUUCCGAGUCCCCCAGUCUCAGGGACCCUGGUCCCUGGAACCUAGCCCUCGCCCCAGACCCCUAGACCUCUGGCCCAUAGUCCCAGGGCCCCAGCACCCCAGACCCAGUAUCCUGGAGUCUUAGUCCUGGCCUCACCACACCACUUCCAGCCCAGCUACAGGACGCACCCUGGUGCCUCAGCGUACCAGCACGCCCUGGUUUAGCCUGCCUGUCCUGGUGCACAUUGCACCCAUGCCUCAGUGCGCAGGGGCAUUGCCCAUGUUCCCUGGCUCACAGGCACCAGGCCCCUCCUACCAUAGCUCUGCCUUAGGCCUCAAAACCCUCAGGCCCUGACAGGGGCCUCUGAACUCCAGCACUAACACAGGGUCCCCAGCUCCUGUCUUCCAGGCCCCCGCCUGCAAAGCAGGCCCCAAUGCCUCAAGCCCAGUGUUGUACCCUAAAAAAAUAGCUUUGUUAUAUGUGUAUUAUAGCAAACCUGUAUAGGGGCUUACUAAAUGUGUUUGUUUUAUCCUUUUUCCCUAACUGAUAUGUUAAGGGACCUAAUUGAUCUGUUGAGCAACACUCUCCUCUGUAAAGAAUUGCAAGAAUCUCACCUAAUUGAUAUGUUAACCAUUGUUGCUCUCUACAAACUACAGAAGCUGUGCUAAAACAAGCUAACAAGGGUUGUUAAUCACUGCUAGGAGCCUCUAUUCUCCGCUAAAGAGCUAAGGAAAACUAAAAUGGCAAUUAAUUUACAUUUGUUUAAAGUAACCUGCUUGUGUGCAGAGAGAUUUGCGUGUGAGUUUAACCCUUUAUCCUGACCUUGACACAUUACCGCCGUUUUCUGUUCUGUAUGGCGCCUUAUUGCCUCCCUCUCCCCUCACCUAUCUAUCUAGGCCAUAAAGAAUUUGGGUUUCUGGUGACCUCCCCCUGACCCGGUGAUGAUCUGUUGUAAAAUGAGCCUGCCCCAAUUUUAAGAACUGCUUAGCUUAAACAAAUUACCGGGUAAUACUAUGGCCCAAACCCCAAUCGGUGCUUUCCUUUUGUUCUGUAUAUAUCAAAUGAGUUAGAUAUCAGGUCUUCGUAAAACUUAAGUUCCAGCGUCUCAUAACUUGUGACCCCUUCGCACUCACUAGCGAAGACAAGCUGUCCUGAGAUAAUUAACUGUCCACUUUCUUCUCCAAAUAUUGCUGCAGACGUGCCACUCUGAGAUAAUGUCAGUCUGCAGGAUAGAAAUAAUUUUUAAAAAAAACACCAGAAACUCCCUAGAUUGUCAGAGCUAAGUGGACAGCAAUACAGUUUCCAGACUCGGGUCAACAAGUUUGAUGGCUCUACAGGUUUCUUUGUUUCUCUCCCCCCACCCUUUCCUCCAGCCCCUUUUUAAAGUCCUCCCUUCAGCUUCUAGGGAACAGUCUCCAAAUUGGCUCCCGGAGACUGGUCGCCAGGCCUGGAAAUAAAGCCUUUGCCACUAAAUUUUCGGUCUCUUGCCUCCUUGGAUUUUAUACCGGGGCUCAAGUUAUAACACCCAGGGCCCCUUAGUUCCUGGCUUGCAGACCCACUGGACCCUGACCCUAGCCCCCAACCCUAGCCUCGGUUCCAGACGCGGCUCUCAGGCUUGGAUUCCUGUCCCAGAGCCUUAGCACAGGGUCCUGGCUCCCAGGCCAGAGCCUCCACUCUCCCAUCACCAGCCAGAGGCCCCACCACUGGUCCAACAGUCCCAAAGCCCAGCCUCCACUCCUGGUCUCCUCUGGCUACCAGGUCACCUAGUCAGGGCCCUGCUCCUGUCCCCAGCCCUAGCUUCCCAGUCCCCAGGCACCUGGCCACCUAACCCUAGCCCAGGUUCCCCAGAAGGCCCCAGUCCAGGCUCCAUGCCCCAGUCCCCAGGGCACCUAGCCCAGGCCCCAGGGCCCAGGCUCCCAGGCCUCAGCACCUCAAUGUAGGCACCCUGGAGUCUGACACACCCCCGACCCGCAGCACUAGCCUCGGGCCCCUGAAUACAGUCCUGUACUCUAGAAUGACUCCUGCAAAUCUGGUCUUGGGUCCUGGCCUCCUAAACCCACCGAGGCCAGAUCCCCUGGCAAGGUGCGCACUCUCCCUUCCUUUCCACCCCGUUUGCCCCUCCCUCCUUCUCCCCUUGGUCCCCUGAGGACCCCAUCUCCCUCACCCUCCAUCGCCCCCAGGAACUGCCCCUGAGACUGAGUCCAAGCUCCCUAGAGAGGCGCGCUUGGGGGCGGUAGCAGAGAAGUUUGUGGGGGCUCAAGAUGGUUUAGGCGAGCCUAGGGGUGGAGCCAGAGUCCUUGAAAAGCCUGUUACACUUGUGCCAACUCCACACCUCUAUGGCGAGCCCACGUGAACUCCGGAAGCUGAGGCAGCCUGAGCGGUGAGGACCUGCUUCUGCCGUCCAUGAGCCGGACUGUCCGCUGAGCAGUGCCCGGUUCCGAUGGUCAGGACCUGGCUCCCCGCCUAGUAUCUGCUUCUCCAACUGGUGCAGGUAAUCACCAUAACUGACUGCAUGUACAAACAGAGCCUACAGUACUCUGGCCCAGAGUCCUGUAAUGCUGAUGAAUACAUAUAUGCUCAUCGUUGCUGCAAGAUGUGCCCUACGGGUCAGUAUGUAGAGAAGCUCUGCAUGAGACCCCACACCCAGGGAGUGUGUGUAAAGUGUGAGCUGGGGACAUUCACAGCAUAUGCCAACGGCCUGGAGUCUUGCCUCGUCUGCUCCACCUGCCGGGCUGGAAACGCUAAUGGAUGUGAGAAGAUGGUGAGGCAGUCAGUGGCAAAGAGUUCUGUCACUGAGGCAGGUGAUGAGCUCAGCAGUGCCCCAGCAAGCACUUCUCACACAUCACCUGGUAAAGAGGGAAGCGGUAUGUUACCUCAGAGUUUUGAGGGUUCCAGCCCAGGUGAUCCAUCUCCAUACGGGGUGACGCCGGACACAACACCAGGAGCAUGUGGCCCAGCAUGUCCAGGAAGAAGAAGAGAAGAUGAGAGGACUGAGUCCCAGGAUCACCUUCUAGAAUGCACCCCUAGUGAUUGAAGGCCUCUCAGCAGGCCCCACCUCUCAGAGCUUCCAGUAUCUCCUGGAGUGCCAGGGAAAGCAUCAAGAGUUUAACUCAAGCACCAUGGAUGCCAACCAUAACAUCUGCCCUCGUGGGUACCCUGGAUAAGACAUAAAGGACAACGUGGGGUGGGAGUCCUGGCUUAUGACUGGUCCCCUCCUUGCUGUCUUAGCCUGCCCUGCUUUGUCACAGAGUUUAAUGCCACCCCACUGUGACCCCCAGGCUCUGGACUAAGGUGGUAGGAAACAGACCAAACACAGGAUGCAACAGCACCAAGGAGCUUAAGGAGUCAGUUUAUUACUCAGGUGGGCUUCUGAUCAGGGUCUGUCUUGAAGAACCAGAGCCCUGCCCAGCACGGCCUCAGGGCUUUUAAAGGGAAAAUAAUUGCGGGGGGAAGGUAGGGCCCAAAGAAAAAUUCAGUGCAUGCGGCUGAAGAAUUGCGUAACAGAGGGAGAACUGUUCUUUUAUGUUGUAAGUUAUAUCACAUAGCUGUUAGCGCCAGUUAUACAAAAGCAGUGAAGAGGGGUUUAUCAAAGGACCAUUUGAAGUUCCAUUACAGUGAGACAGGGUAACACAGGAAGGGAAUUUUGUAUUUGCAGUUACCACUGGACACAUCUUGCAGACUCAACUAAGCAUUAAUAAAUUAGUGAGUUUUGUUGUAUUUUGCAAUAAGAAUUUAAAAAUAAAAUUUUAUAGUAUUUGUCAA
This is an RNA transcript of Cavia porcellus (domestic guinea pig), 8246 nucleotides long. It is a transcript of the gene named tumor necrosis factor receptor superfamily member 14-like, with no coding region annotated. Lineage: Eukaryota; Metazoa; Chordata; Mammalia; Rodentia; Caviidae. The transcript has 12 exons. The record is from RefSeq and is a predicted model, not a curated record.